UGGCAUCAUGGCAGGAUUUUAUUUAGCAUAUUUUAGUUAUUUAUAGCAUUUUCAAAAAUGUUAGCCCACAAUUUCAGCUGGUACGAAUCAGAACAUGGUUUCGUCAGCAUUACAAAUGCAGAGUGUUCAGUCUGCACUGGGUCACAGGAUUGGCCUCCUGAUGUUGUCAUCCACUCAGUGCAGCUUGAUGUGGUGAAGCAUGCAUUUUAGCAAAUCAAAGAGUCUGAUGGAAUUGUCAGCAUCAGCUGGAGUGCUGAUGGCUGACAGCACCAAACGGCACUGAAUUCAUUACGGACAUGCCGAGAAAAAAAAAAAAAAAUGCUAAAAAAAAAAUCUCUAGGCAGGUUUGAACAGGUUGAACCACAUUUCUGUCAGGGAAGCAAGUGGUGGCUAUGGAAGGUAAACUAAAAACCGGGGGGGAUGACAAAACAAAAAAAUAUCACAAAGAGAAUACAGUAUCCACAUCUGCAUUGUGUAAAACUGAAAUGUGGAUUAAUAAGCUGAAUGCAUUUAGUAGAAUUAAAAUUUUAACUGAAGUAGUUUGAAAUCCUCAUUUAGUAAUAUGAUUAAUACAUUACAGAGCUUUUACUUUUGGUACUUUUCAGAGCCUAUUCUUUACCUUUACUUGGGUAAAGGAGUUGAAUCAGUAUAUUAACUUUUACUUGAGUAUUUAACACCAGUAUCUGUACUCUUAAGUACAGGAUGUCUGUACUUUUAUCACCUUUGCUGAUCUGUUGAGGCUUUUGACACUUUCAAUUUAAAGUCUUAGUUUUGAAACUUCUGGUUUUUUGUUUUUGUUUUUUGUUUUUAAAUGGUGAUCCAGUGCUCAGAGCAGAGAAAAAUAAAGACAAAGCAGUCAAGCUAAAUAACUUGAUAGAUUAAUAGAGCUACAGUCCAAAACCUGCGAAAGAAGUGAACAGUAGUGGAUGAAGUUGGAGAAACCGUUUCCAUCAUCAGUUUUUCCUAAGUUCAUUAUUAAUUUCUGUUCGUUUUAUAGCAGAUAUAAUCUUGUACAACAAGAGAUUAUAGCAAUAUUACAAGCAAUCUCAUGGAAAGCACUCAACUGAAGUUCCAAAAUGUUAAUAUACAAGCAACUAUUGAAGGACGGGACAUUGAUUCAGUUUAAAGUCUGGGAUACUUUUAAUGGUGCAGAUACAGCUCAAGUGAAACUGACGACUGGACUUGGCUCAAAAUGCACAUCACCAAAAUAUUUAGUCAAAAUCCGAUUCACCGGCUUUCUAACAUUUGGGCAUAGACUUGUUGCUUCUUGCUUAUGAGGACAAGACUCAGACAUGAAUGGUCAUUAGCUCUUGAAAAUUAACCUCAACCCAAAUGUUCAGCUAUUCUUUCAGACAACCUGACAAAAGAAACUACAGAAGAGCUUUCACUUUAUUUUAAAUAAAGGAAAUCAUCCUUCUUGCACUGCAGAGCUGUAAGGGAGGAGACAUUUGUGAGGAACAGAUUUUAAACCAAUGUGAAAUGUCAUGUUGUAAUAGCCAAAAACUAAUGACCCACCUCUGCCCUGUGAGUUUGGGUCAUCUCUUCCAUCCAUGCCAGUCUGAAGCUGACCGAUGGAAAUUUGGCCAAGGGUCAGAAGACUGAUGCUUUACAUGACCCCAGUGAGGUCCACGGUAAUGCCACCAGUAGUCAUUCCACGCAGGAUUCAUCUGGGAGUUGUAGUAGCCACUAGGGUCGACAUAUCUUUGAGGAUGACGCAGCCUUGAUGGGUGUUCUGGUCCAUCUGGCUUUGGAAAUGCAAACUCCUGCAGGUGGCCUUCAUCACGAUGCUCGUGAUCCUCACGAUGCUGGUCAGGGUACGGCCUUGUAUGAACUGGCAAAUGCUCCGUUUGACGACCCAAAUCAUCUUUCUCAGGCCUGUGUCGACGUCCACCGUGAUGUUCCUGGCCACCUGGGGGGCGUGGAGAACCACGUGAAAAGGGAACGUAUAAGCUGAACUGGUAGCCCAGGUUUGAAGGAUCAUGGGCAUGGUCUCUGCGGGGAUUAUUAAAACUGUUGUCAAUAAUAAGGCCGCUUGGUCCGUACCGAGGACGAUAAGCACCAUCACGAGUGUGAGCAAAAGGAAUCCUCAGGCUUAUGUUAAAGCUCCUGGGCUUGGCCACAAGAUGGUUUCUGUGUGCUCGUGGCUGGAGCAGAGAUGUUUCCAUGGGUCUGUGGGUAGGAAUAUUAGAGCGUGGAAGAUAUGAUGUUGGGGAUUCGACUUGAACCUGAUCACGCACGUUAGGGUAGAUCAUUGGAUCUGUCGGCCUCAGAGCCCUCAUGUACUGGAAAGGGCGAGGAUUUCCAUACACAUCUUGUUCCCCUCUUCCACCCUGCCAUGCUCUAGGCUGCACAGAACUUGUGGCUGAGAGAGAACAUGGGUAUGAAUACAGAUUAUAAAGCUGGUAAAGCUUCA
Molecule: long non-coding RNA, 2413 nt
Organism: Oreochromis aureus
Lineage: Eukaryota; Metazoa; Chordata; Actinopteri; Cichliformes; Cichlidae
Source: Ensembl